ACAACAAAAUUAGCUUUUAAUAGCACAUCUCUAUAGCGUUUUUCUCAUAAAUGCUAUAAUUGCUCUUUAUAUUGUUUCCAAAUAAUAAAUCCAAAAAUAAAACGCUAUAACAUUGAAAUUUAUUGCGCUCAUUUUCCCGGGCCUCUAAAUAAAAUAUAUUAUGAGUGAAACAAAGCCCUAAACUCCCUUCCACCUCCCAUGGAUAAUCGUCUAAAAUUGAAAUCCUUCAUUUCUCUCAAAUGUCGACCUGCACUGCCGGCAAAACGCAAUCUUCGAUCCUAUCUCCACCACGAAUUUGUCAAUUUAUGUAUCGUCCCCUCUCAAAAUCGACCUCCUGGCACACGGUUCUAUCCAUUUUCAAUCAGUAUUGGAAAAAAAAGAGGAGCAGAAGAAAGAGCAAAUUUUGGACGGCAACAGUCUAUGAAUUUCUCGGGGACACGCAUAUGUUGUAUCUAAAAUUUUGUUUACCUUCCCUUCACCAUACAUUUGAUGGAAAACGUUCUUUUCAGGGACGUUAUGCAAUACUAAAGACAUUACAAAAGAGUUUGAUGGUAAUUAAAGAAAUGUUUUUCUUGAGUGGUAGCACAAACUUGUAAGGUGGGCUUUCUAAGACAAUAUAGAGGGUGACGAGGGUGCAUAUUGACUUAGCCGAAGCAUUGGACUGAUGUCUCUUUCUUUGUUGAUUAACUUAGCCGAAGCAUUAAAUUGUGGAAGAAUUUAUCAAUUUGAAAUGUUUCCUCAAAGGGUAUAUGCAAGAUCACCACAUCAAGUUUGAUUUAUGGUGCUUAAAUGAGAUGAUCAAGUAUAUUCAAUGUCGUGGAACCAUGGCCAGAAGAUUGAAUUGUUCAUCUGAUGCACAUAGAAACAAGGAAUGGAAGACGAAUUAUGGCGUUCUCAACUGAAUAUGCUGAAACGAUUGUGAACAUGAUUCUUUUAGUUUUUCGAAAUAACAAUCUAAGUUCAGUAUAUAAGUUUUACUAUACCUAGUGAAUGGUAUCAAAUCGAACAGGAUAUGUACAUAAUUUAUUUUGUUAUUGUGAUAUAAUAUUCUUAGCCGUUCUUGUAUUAUCUUGAGUUUAAUAAAAAUACAUGUCAUUGUAU
This is a non-coding RNA of Erythranthe guttata (spotted monkey flower), 1101 nucleotides long. The record is from RefSeq and is a predicted model, not a curated record. NCBI's taxonomy places the organism in Eukaryota, Viridiplantae, Streptophyta, Magnoliopsida, Lamiales, Phrymaceae.